CACGUAGGGCGCAAGCGUUGUCCGGAAUUAUUGGGCGUAAAGAGCUCGUAGGCGGUCCGUCACGUCCGCUGUGAAAACCAGGGCUCAACCCUGGGCUUGCAGUGGAUACGGGCAGACUAGAGGUAGGUAGGGAGAAUGGAAUUCCGGUGUAGCGGUGAAAUGCGCAGAUAUCGGAGGAACACCGGUGGCGAAGGCGGUUCUCUGGGCAACAACUGACGCUGAGGAGCGAAAGCGUGGGGAGCGAACAGG
RNAcentral lists this ribosomal RNA (249 nucleotides) under uncultured bacterium. RNAcentral describes it as "partial 16S ribosomal RNA". It matches the Rfam family "Bacterial small subunit ribosomal RNA", at positions 524 to 776 of the family's 1533-position model. The record is from RNAcentral.